RNAcentral lists this microRNA (24 nucleotides) under Camellia sinensis. Its description in RNAcentral is "microRNA miR1134". The record is from RNAcentral. Lineage: Eukaryota; Viridiplantae; Streptophyta; Magnoliopsida; Ericales; Theaceae.
CAACAACAAGAAGAAGAAUAAGCU